This 797-nucleotide ribosomal RNA is filed under the name uncultured bacterium. Its description in RNAcentral is "bacterial SSU rRNA". It matches the Rfam family "Bacterial small subunit ribosomal RNA", at positions 91 to 883 of the family's 1533-position model. The record is from RNAcentral.
CCUAGCGGCGGACGGGUGAGUAAUGCUUAGGAAUCUGCCUAUUAGUGGGGGACAACAUUCCGAAAGGAAUGCUAAUACCGCAUACGUCCUACGGGAGAAAGCAGGGGACCUUCGGGCCUUGCGCUAAUAGAUGAGCCUAAGUCGGAUUAGCUAGUUGGUGGGGUAAAGGCCUACCAAGGCGACGAUCUGUAGCGGGUCUGAGAGGAUGAUCCGCCACACUGGGACUGAGACACGGCCCAGACUCCUACGGGAGGCAGCAGUGGGGAAUAUUGGACAAUGGGGGGAACCCUGAUCCAGCCAUGCCGCGUGUGUGAAGAAGGCCUUUUGGUUGUAAAGCACUUUAAGCGAGGAGGAGGCUACUAGUAUUAAUACUACUGGAUAGUGGACGUUACUCGCAGAAUAAGCACCGGCUAACUCUGUGCCAGCAGCCGCGGUAAUACAGAGGGUGCGAGCGUUAAUCGGAUUUACUGGGCGUAAAGCGUGCGUAGGCGGCUGAUUAAGUCGGAUGUGAAAUCCCUGAGCUUAACUUAGGAAUUGCAUUCGAUACUGGUCAGCUAGAGUAUGGGAGAGGAUGGUAGAAUUCCAGGUGUAGCGGUGAAAUGCGUAGAGAUCUGGAGGAAUACCGAUGGCGAAGGCAGCCAUCUGGCCUAAUACUGACGCUGAGGUACGAAAGCAUGGGGAGCAAACAGGAUUAGAUACCCUGGUAGUCCAUGCCGUANACGAUGUCUACUAGCCGUUGGGGCCUUUGAGGCUUUAGUGGCGCAGCUAACGCGAUAAGUAGACCGCCUGGGGAGUAC